Molecule: long non-coding RNA, 748 nt
Organism: Camelus dromedarius (Arabian camel)
Lineage: Eukaryota; Metazoa; Chordata; Mammalia; Artiodactyla; Camelidae
Exons: 2
Source: RefSeq, a predicted model, not a curated record
ACGGGCGGUCUGGCCACCGCCGCCGCCUGUACUGGGUCCACCUAGGGGCCCUUUCAGCCGCUGAUCUCUGGGGCCAAGGGCUGUGUUUUGCCACCACCCUCUGGACAGUUGACCGGCCGCUCUGCUUGGGGGGUGGUUUACCCCCUAAGAAGCGGGAGUACCAAGGAAGAAUGACAGCAAGGGGAGGAGGGAGGCCAGGAAACGCGCAGUCCAUGUGGCCAGAAGUCACGAUUCUGCAGAUGCAAAAACUGAGGCCCAAAGAGGGCCCGGCACCACACUGGCUGACGAGGGUGCUCUCAACAGCAGGACCUGAAUGGAAUUUCAUAUUCGAGAGCUGGGAGGGCACUUGGGAAAUCAUCGGGCUUUCCCCACGUGUGAAAAAGACGCAGCAGAACUGUUCCCACUGAACAGAUGACACUACUGAGGCUCAGAGGCCAGGACACUGACAGGGAGAAGUGGCAUCCUGCAUCCCUGCUGGCUGACCCUCAGGAUGUAGCCCGGCCAGUGGAAUGCCAGACGAGCUUGCUACGUGCCAGGCCUGUUUCAGUGGCUUAAAAAAAAAAAUUGCCUAAAGCCCAGACUCAUCUCAUCUGGCACUGGGAGUGGGUUUAAUGUCUCAGGCUUGCUAAGUCUAUGAAGGUGAACAGAACAGGGAAGAGCCAAAAACAGGGUGGGGAGCUGGUUUUUCUUAUUUGCAAACUUCUCAAAAAUAAGCCUCGUCUAGCACCAGCCUGUUGUUAUUUACUAA